This 543-nucleotide ribosomal RNA is filed under the name uncultured bacterium. RNAcentral's name for it is "bacterial SSU rRNA". It matches the Rfam family "Bacterial small subunit ribosomal RNA", at positions 8 to 526 of the family's 1533-position model. The record is from RNAcentral.
AGAGUUUGAUCAUGGCUCAGAGCGAACGCUGGCGGCGUACUUAACACAUGCAAGUCGAACGGGGAUCGUUCUGUGAGCAAUCACAGAGCGGUUCUAGUGGCGCACGGGUGAGUAACACGUGGGCAACCUGCCCUUGAGUCCGGGAUACCCCCUCGAAAGGGGGGCUAAUACUGGAUACGUUCCUCGGGUCGCGAGAUCUGGGGAGGAAAGGUAGCGAAAGCUGCCGCUCAUGGAGGGGCUCGCGGCCUAUCAGCUAGUUGGUGAGGUAACGGCUCACCAAGGCUAUGACGGGUAGCUGGUCUGAGAGGACGACCAGCCACACGGGAACUGAGACACGGUCCCGACUCCUACGGGAGGCAGCAGUGGGGAAUUUUCCGCAAUGGGCGAAAGCCUGACGGAGUGACGCCGCGUGGGGGACGAAGGCCUUCGGGUUGUAAACCCCUGUCAGAGGGAAAGAAGGGUGUCGGCGCGAUAACCGCCGGCAUUUGACGGUACCUUCAGAGGAAGCCCCGGCCAACUCUGUGCCAGCAGCCGCGGUAAUAC